Long non-coding RNA from Cavia porcellus (domestic guinea pig), 1213 nucleotides. RefSeq lists it as uncharacterized. The transcript is spliced from 2 exons. NCBI's taxonomy places the organism in Eukaryota, Metazoa, Chordata, Mammalia, Rodentia, Caviidae. The record is from RefSeq and is a predicted model, not a curated record.
CUCUGUCUGAAGUUUUCCUUUACUAGUGAGCAUUUUCCUCAUAUGUGAAAUGGAAUAUGUUCUCCAACUUUAUGGAAGAGGAAAAGAAAUUGUCUUUAACAGGGGCAGGUGAGGAAGAGGCCAGUCUGUGUACAUGACCGCCAGUAGAGAGCUGAAUUUCACGAAGCCAGCAAUGCAAACUUCUUUACCUAACAGAAGAAUUGGUAGCUUUACCCUGAGGUGGUAAAGAAUUAUCUGUUUUCUGAAAGCAACGUACCCUCGCAUUGGCGGUGCAAGCGAGCAGUAGGUGAGCCAGGAAGAAAACAAGUCAGUGUCUCCCUUGAGCCAGGCUGAGAACCAAACGUCCCACCUCCCAUCCCCGCUUAACAACUGGGUGGUGUGGAGGACAGCUGCAGUUAAUAGCAACUAAGACACAUAAAACCACCCAGUGGUUGUAUUGUUGGGUUGAUUAUGCUGAUCUGGGGCCAGAGGUCUGAGCAUCUCUCAGGAGGAUGACCAUAUGCAAUACAGCAAAUACGGGGCAUUUCCUUCUGCCUUCUUUUUGGAGGCAAAUAUUGUUUUCACUCUUUUGCUUUGUUCUGAUUAAUGUUUUGCUCUAUUCAAUAUUCCGUUUUGAUAGGUUUUAUAAUAUUCUGCUUUUGGUUUGAUUUUGCUAUACCUGAUUGAAUGGACAACUAUUGUGAAAAUGAGAUAUACUAUGGUACUUAUUACUGUUAUCCUGGUAUCCUGCUCUGAAGUUCUGUACCAAUUUCAUUGUAUCGUCUUGAUCAGCGCUUUGUUCUGUUAUAUUUUACUACCUUAAAAAAAAAUUAUCUGUUUUCAAGAACCUUCUGAAAAUUGAAAGAGUUUUGGCCCAGGCUGGACACUGUCGCUGGAAAAGCCUCAGCCGGAACCAAGGAGCUCUAUCUCCCCCACCCCUCUACCUCUGGUGCAAACUAGUGCCAAUGGGCUACCUGUGCAUCCCUAAUGCCCCCUCAGGCACCACCCCUAACCUAAGCUACAUAUAGGCCCCCAUCCACGUGUUCCACAGGGAGAGAUCGCCGACCCUGGGGUAGAGAUGCAGCGUCCCAGGGGAUCGGGGGUGUCUCUCCCCGCAUUCUCAAAAUAAAGGUCAUUUAUAUUUCAUACUUCUUAUCUUUUCAGCCGCCACUGGUCUCCCACAGUUCUAUCAUAAUUGGAUUAAAUAAAAUCAAUAAAAAUAAUUUUACUUGUU